GAGAAAGCGUUGAGGAAGACCGUAAUUAACAAAUUGUCUCUAGCGAGUCUGGAUGGUGUAAGCAGACGUCAAUAGUUAGUUGAGGAUCACUUUUGAGCAGAUGGCUGAAUGAAGUAGGUUAUCUCGGCGACCACCGUUAUCUGGAUUUUGAGGCAUUUUAAUGCGAAUAAAGGUGGUACCGUGCAAGUCAAUGCGCCCUUUAA
RNAcentral lists this non-coding RNA (203 nucleotides) under Secundilactobacillus kimchicus. Its description in RNAcentral is "Lactobacillus kimchicus T-box sequence". It matches the Rfam family "T-box leader". Rfam says of the family: Uncharged tRNA acts as the effector for transcription antitermination of genes in the T-box leader family. T-boxes are found upstream of many aminoacyl-tRNA synthetase genes and some amino acid biosynthetic genes usually in Gram-positive bacteria. The anticodon of a specific tRNA base pairs to a specifier sequence within the T-box motif, and the NCCA acceptor tail of the tRNA base pairs to a conserved bulge in the T-box antiterminator hairpin. Lineage: Bacteria; Bacillati; Bacillota; Bacilli; Lactobacillales; Lactobacillaceae. The record is from RNAcentral.